Molecule: ribosomal RNA, 424 nt
Filed under: Verrucomicrobiota bacterium
Lineage: Bacteria; Pseudomonadati; Verrucomicrobiota
Description: Verrucomicrobia bacterium partial 16S ribosomal RNA
Rfam family: Bacterial small subunit ribosomal RNA
Source: RNAcentral
UGAGGAAUAUUGGUCAAUGGACGCAAGUCUGAACCAGCCAAGUAGCGUGCAGGAUGACGGCCCUAUGGGUUGUAAACUGCUUUUAUAUGGGGAUAAAGUGGGGAACGUGUUCCCUUUUGCAGGUACAACAUGAAUAAGGACAGGCUAAUUCCGUGCCAGCAGCCGCGGUAAUACGGAAGGUUCGGGCGUUAUCCGGAUAUAUUGGGUUUAAAGGGAGCGUAGGCCGUUUGGUAAGCGUGUUGUGAAAUGUAGGAGCUCAACUUCUAGAUUACAGCGCGAACUGUCAGACUUGAGUGCGCACAACGUAGGCGGAAUUCAUGGUGUAGCGGUGAAAUGCUUAGAUAUCAUGAAGAACUCCGAUUGCGAAGGCAGCUUACGGGAGCGCAACUGACGCUGAAGCUCGAAGGUGCGGGUAUCGAACAGG